RNAcentral lists this ribosomal RNA (497 nucleotides) under uncultured bacterium. Its description in RNAcentral is "partial 16S ribosomal RNA". It matches the Rfam family "Bacterial small subunit ribosomal RNA", at positions 28 to 507 of the family's 1533-position model. The record is from RNAcentral.
GGUGAACGCUGGCGGCGUGCCUAGUACAUGCAAGUCGAGCGAACGGACGAGAAGCUUGCUUUUCUGAUGUUAGCGGCGGACGGGUGAGUAACACGUGGAUAACCUACCUAUAAGACUGGGAUAACUUCGGGAAACCGGAGCUAAUACCGGAUAAUAUUUUGAACCGCAUGGUUCAAAAGUGAAAGACGGUCUUGCUGUCACUUAUAGAUGGAUCCGCGCUGCAUUAGCUAGUUGGUAAGGUAACGGCUUACCAAGGCAACGAUGCAUAGCCGACCUGAGAGGGUGAUCGGCCACACUGGAACUGAGACACGGUCCAGACUCCUACGGGAGGCAGCAGUAGGGAAUCUUCCGCAAUGGGCGAAAGCCUGACGGAGCAACGCCGCGUGAGUGAUGAAGGUCUUCGGAUCGUAAAACUCUGUUAUUAGGGAAGAACAUAUGUGUAAGUAACUGUGCACAUCUUGACGGUACCUAAUCAGAAAGCCACGGCUAACUACGUG